RNAcentral lists this ribosomal RNA (1438 nucleotides) under uncultured organism. RNAcentral's name for it is "SSU rRNA". It matches the Rfam family "Bacterial small subunit ribosomal RNA". The record is from RNAcentral.
UGCGACAGGCUUAACACAUGCAAGUCGAGGGGCAGCACAGGUAGCAAUACCGGGUGGCGACCGGCGCACGGGUGAGUAACGCGUAUGCAACUUACCUAUCAGAGGGGGAUAACCCGGCGAAAGUCGGACUAAUACCGCAUGAAGCAGGGGCCCCGCAUGGGGAUAUUUGCUAAAGAUUCAUCGCUGAUAGAUAGGCAUGCGUUCCAUUAGGCAGUUGGCGGGGUAACGGCCCACCAAACCGACGAUGGAUAGGGGUUCUGAGAGGAAGGUCCCCCACAUUGGUACUGAGACACGGACCAAACUCCUACGGGAGGCAGCAGUGAGGAAUAUUGGUCAAUGGCCGAGAGGCUGAACCAGCCAAGUCGCGUGAGGGAUGAAGGUUCUAUGGAUCGUAAACCUCUUUUAUAAGGGAAUAAAGUGCGGGACGUGUCCCGUUUUGUAUGUACCUUAUGAAUAAGGAUCGGCUAACUCCGUGCCAGCAGCCGCGGUAAUACGGAGGAUCCGAGCGUUAUCCGGAUUUAUUGGGUUUAAAGGGUGCGUAGGCGGCCUUUUAAGUCAGCGGUGAAAGUCUGUGGCUCAACCAUAGAAUUGCCGUUGAAACUGGGGGGCUUGAGUAUGUUUGAGGCAGGCGGAAUGCGUGGUGUAGCGGUGAAAUGCAUAGAUAUCACGCAGAACCCCGAUUGCGAAGGCAGCCUGCCAAGCCAUGACUGACGCUGAUGCACGAAAGCGUGGGGAUCAAACAGGAUUAGAUACCCUGGUAGUCCACGCAGUAAACGAUGAUCACUAGCUGUUUGCGAUACACAGUAAGCGGCACAGCGAAAGCGUUAAGUGAUCCACCUGGGGAGUACGCCGGCAACGGUGAAACUCAAAGGAAUUGACGGGGGCCCGCACAAGCGGAGGAACAUGUGGUUUAAUUCGGUGAUACGCGAGGAACCUUACCCGGGUUUGAACGCAUUCGGACCGAGGUGGAAACACCUUUUCUAGCAAUAGCCGUUUGCGAGGUGCUGCAUGGUUGUCGUCAGCUCGUGCCGUGAGGUGUCGGCUUAAGUGCCAUAACGAGCGCAACCCUUGCCACUAGUUACUAACAGGUAAAGCUGAGGACUCUGGUGGGACUGCCAGCGUAAGCUGCGAGGAAGGCGGGGAUGACGUCAAAUCAGCACGGCCCUUACAUCCGGGGCGACACACGUGUUACAAUGGCGUGGACAAAGGGAGGCCACCUGGCGACAGGGAGCGAAUCCCCAAACCACGUCUCAGUUCGGAUCGGAGUCUGCAACCCGACUCCGUGAAGCUGGAUUCGCUAGUAAUCGCGCAUCAGCCAUGGCGCGGUGAAUACGUUCCCGGGCCUUGUACACACCGCCCGUCAAGCCAUGGGAGCCGGGGGUACCUGAAGUCCGUAACCGCGAGGAUCGGCCUAGGGUAAAACUGGUGACUGGGGCUA